AGAGAGUCUGACGAGCACGCCGCGUGAGUGAGAAGGUUUUCGGAUCGUAAAACUCUGUUGUUAGAGAAGAACAAGGACGUUAGUAACUGAACGUCCCCUGACGGUAUCUAACCAGAAAGCCACGGCUAACUACGUGCCAGCAGCCGCGGUAAUACGUAGGUGGCAAGCGUUGUCCGGAUUUAUUGGGCGUAAAGCGAGCGCAGGCGGUUUCUUAAGUCUGAUGUGAAAGCCCCCGGCUCAACCGGGGAGGGUCAUUGGAAACUGGGAGACUUGAGUGCAGAAGAGGAGAGUGGAAUUCCAUGUGUAGCGGUGAAAUGCGUAGAUAUAUGGAGGAACACCAGUGGCGAAGGCGGCUCUCUGGUCUGUAACUGACGCUGAGGCUCGAAAGCGUGGGGAGCAAACAGGAUUAGAUACC
Molecule: ribosomal RNA, 415 nt
Filed under: Enterococcus faecalis
Lineage: Bacteria; Bacillati; Bacillota; Bacilli; Lactobacillales; Enterococcaceae
Description: bacterial SSU rRNA
Rfam family: Bacterial small subunit ribosomal RNA
Source: RNAcentral